UGGGGAAUAUUGGACAAUGGGCGCAAGCCUGAUCCAGCAAUGCCGCGUGGAUGAAGAAGGUCUUCGGAUUGUAAAGUCCUUUCGGCGGGGACGAUGAUGACGGUACCCGCAGAAGAAGCCCCGGCUAACUUCGUGCCAGCAGCCGCGGUAAUACGAAGGGGGCUAGCGUUGCUCGGAAUGACUGGGCGUAAAGGGCGCGUAGGCGGAUGUUUUAGUCAGGCGUGAAAGUCCUGGGCUCAACCUGGGGAUUGCGUUUGAUACGGGGCAUCUAGAGUUGGGAAGAGGGUCGUGGAAUUCCCAGUGUAGAGGUGAAAUUCGUAGAUAUUGGGAAGAACACCGGUGGCGAAGGCGGCGACCUGGUCCUUGACUGACGCUGAGGCGCGAAAGCGUGGGGAGCAAACAG
Molecule: ribosomal RNA, 403 nt
Filed under: uncultured bacterium
Lineage: Bacteria
Description: bacterial SSU rRNA
Rfam family: Bacterial small subunit ribosomal RNA
Source: RNAcentral